Molecule: ribosomal RNA, 428 nt
Filed under: Bacteroidota bacterium
Lineage: Bacteria; Pseudomonadati; Bacteroidota
Description: Bacteroidetes bacterium partial 16S ribosomal RNA
Rfam family: Bacterial small subunit ribosomal RNA
Source: RNAcentral
UAGGGAAUCUUCGGCAAGGGGGGAACCCUGACCGAGCAACGCCGCGUGAGUGAAGAAGGUUUUCGGAUCGUAAAGCUCUGUUGUUAAGGAAGAACGAGUGUGAGAAUGGAAAGUUCAUGCUGUGACGGUACUUAACCAGAAAGGGACGGCUAACUACGUGCCAGCAGCCGCGGUAAUACGUAGGUCCCGAGCGUUGUCCGGAUUUAUUGGGCGUAAAGCGAGCGCAGGCGGUUAGAAAAGUCUGAAGUGAAAGGCAGUGGCUCAACCAUUGUAGGCUUUGGAAACUGUUUAACUUGAGUGCAGAAGGGGGGAGUGGAAUUCCAUGUGUAGCGGUGAAAUGCGUAGAUAUAUGGAGGAACACCGGUGGCGAAAGCGGCUCUCUGGUCUGUAACUGACGCUGAGGCUCGAAAGCGUGGGGAGCGAACAGG